The sequence is a small nucleolar RNA, 194 nucleotides long. It matches the Rfam family "Small nucleolar RNA snR8".
AUGAUACAUAUUAAAAAUGCAUUCUAUUCACUGUGCCAUCUAUAUUACAUCCGUAGGUGAUCAGAGGGGAAAAGAAGAGCUAGAGCAACUCCCACACUCGUGAGCGUCCUCAUACUGUUCUGGGUGCUUCUCACAGGUGCUUCUUUUAGCACCUCCCAUUGGCCCAGAUCGGUAGCUGCGCAAGCGAGAUAUCC